UCAAGUAGUCUAUUGUUUAUUGUCACUAGUAUUAUAGCGAAGGAAAAUACAUUAAUAGUAGUAAUUACAAUGGUGUGUGAAUUAUAUCUGAUAUAAGAAUCUGUCUGUCUAGCUAUCUAUUCAUCUAUUUGUUCUAUAUGUUCAUCUGUUUAUCUCCAAGAGCAAUUUGAUGGAUACUCCUGGCACCAAAUUUCAACAAGGACUCCCUGAAACACAUGACUAUUUUAACAUGGGAUGAUGCUGAAACCCCCGAAGACAAUGAGAUUACCACUCCUGGCACCAAAUUUCAACAAGGACUCCCUGAAACACAUGACUAUUUUAACAUGGGAUGAUGCUGAAACCCCCAAAGAUGUGGUGAAAUGAACACUUCAAAAUAGCCUCCUAGAAGGCCUUGUCUACUGAGGACCUAAAGUCUUCUUUCUUGGGAGUCUUGAGGAAGCGGCAAUGGACAUCACAAGCACCGUUAUGUGGAUUUACAAUAACUGCAGACAUGAGAAUCCCAUAGACUGUUGAUGUGGGGACUGUGAUCGAGGCCAUGAAACUUUGCCAAUGUCAUCUCGUCCAUCAUGCUCUACUUACGGAUGCUCUUCAUCAACUACAGGUGUGUUAACCCCUCUUGGUACCAGGACAACAGCCUAGGUCAAACCAAGGACCUAAUGGUGGACUACAGGAGACUGGAGCAAGAGGAGCACACACCCGUCUACCCCUCUCACUACAAAGAACUUUACUCUACUGUAACUGACCCUUGGCAGAUGGGUUGGGCCCUUGAGUCGUGGAUCUGUCUGAGGUUUCUUCCUAUAUGUAUCUCCAAUUCUAGGGAGUUUUUCCUUGCCCCUGUUGCUCAUGGGCUCUCUUUGAAGGUUUAACAC
Long non-coding RNA from Sardina pilchardus (European sardine), 869 nucleotides. RefSeq lists it as uncharacterized. NCBI's taxonomy places the organism in Eukaryota, Metazoa, Chordata, Actinopteri, Clupeiformes, Clupeidae. The transcript has 5 exons. The record is from RefSeq and is a predicted model, not a curated record.